AGAGUUUGAUCCUGGCUCAGGAUGAACGCUGGCGGCAUGCCUAAUACAUGCAAGUCGAACGAGGGUCCUUCGGGACUCGAGUGGCGAACGGGUGAGUAACACGUAGGGAACCUGCCCGUGCGACCGGGAGAACUUUCGGAAACGGAAGCUGAUACCGGAUAGGGACAGAGACGGCAUCGACUCUGUGUUAAAGGAGCUGAAAGGCUCCGCGCACGGAUGGACCUGCGGUGCAUUAGCUGGUUGGUGAGGUAACGGCCCACCAAGGCGACGAUGCAUAGCCGGCCUGAGAGGGCGGACGGCCACACUGGGACUGAGACACGGCCCAGACUCCUACGGGAGGCAGCAGUAGGGAAUUUUCGUCAAUGGGCGCAAGCCUGAACGAGCAAUGCCGCGUGAACGAGGAAGGUCUUCGGAUCGUAAAGUUCUGUUGAAGGGGAAAAAGAGCGGAGAGAGGAAAUGGUCUCCGAUUGAUAUUACCCUUCGAGGAAGUCACGGCUAACUACGUGCCAGCAGCCGCGGUAAUACGUAGGUGGCGAGCGUUAUCCGGAAUGAUUGGGCGUAAAGGGUGCGUAGGCGGCCUGCUAAGUCUGGAGUGAAAGGUACCGGCUCAACCGGUAUAGGCUCUGGAAACUGGCGGGCUAGAGAGCAGGAGAGGGCGGUGGAACUCCAUGUGUAGCGGUAAAAUGCGUAGAUAUAUGGAAGAACACCAGUGGCGAAGGCGGCCGCCUGGCCUGUUACUGACGCUGAGGCACGAAAGCGUGGGGAGCAAAUAGGAUUAGAUACCCUAGUAGUCCACGCCGUAAACGAUGAGGACCAAGUGUUGGGGAAGACCCAGUGCUGCAGUUAACGCAGUGAGUCCUCCGCCUGGGGAGUAUGCACGCAAGUGUGAAACUCAAAGGAAUUGACGGGGGCCCGCACAAGCGGUGGAGUAUGUGGUUUAAUUCGAAGCAACGCGAAGAACCUUACCAGGCCUUGACAUAGGGUGCGAAGCUAUGGAGACAUAGUGGAGGUAAACAUCCAUACAGGUGGUGCAUGGUUGUCGUCAGCUCGUGUCGUGAGAUGUUCAGUUAAGUCUGGCAGCGAGCGCAACCCUCGUGAUGUGUUACCAAUAUCGAGUUAGGGACUCACAUCAGACUGCCGGUGAGAAACCGGAGGAAGGCGGGGAUGACGUCAAAUCAUCAUGCCCCUUAUGGCCUGGGCUACACACGUACUACAAUGGCGGCGACAGAGGGCAGCGAGCCUGCGAAGGCAAGCGAAUCCCAAAAAAGCCGUCCCAGUUCGGAUUGGAGUCUGCAACCCGACUCCAUGAAGUUGGAAUCGCUAGUAAUCGCGGAUCAGCUUGCCGCGGUGAAUACGUUCUCGGGCCUUGUACUCACCGCCC
RNAcentral lists this ribosomal RNA (1381 nucleotides) under uncultured bacterium. RNAcentral's name for it is "16S ribosomal RNA". It matches the Rfam family "Bacterial small subunit ribosomal RNA". The record is from RNAcentral.